UACGGAGGGUGCGAGCGUUGUCCGGAAUCACUGGGCGUAAAGGGCGCGUAGGCGGCGCGGCAAGUCCAUGGUGAAAGCUCGUGGCUCAACUGCGAGUCGGCCAAGGAUACUGCUGCGCUCGAGCACUGUAGAGGCAGGUGGAAUUCCGGGGUGUAGCGGUGGAAUGCGUAGAGAUCCGGAAGAACACCGGUGGCGAAGGC
Molecule: ribosomal RNA, 200 nt
Filed under: uncultured bacterium
Lineage: Bacteria
Description: partial 16S ribosomal RNA
Rfam family: Bacterial small subunit ribosomal RNA
Source: RNAcentral